RNAcentral lists this long non-coding RNA (3483 nucleotides) under Sus scrofa (pig). RNAcentral's name for it is "lncRNA (ENSSSCG00050057654.1)". The record is from RNAcentral. Lineage: Eukaryota; Metazoa; Chordata; Mammalia; Artiodactyla; Suidae.
GCGGAGGGACUGGGGUGAGAGUGAGUCAGGGAGGGACAAGGCUUUCAUCAGUCAUCCCUGGUGGACCCUCCCAAGAAAACCCUAAGGGGUUCCAAGAGCCUCUCAUUGGGGAAGUGUCCACAGUUGGGAGGGUGACGCACCCCGAACUCCACAGAGACUGAAGCUCCUGGAUCCCACCUCUCGCACACCUGGCCCCUACUUCCUCAUCUGCCUGUACAUCCCUUUAGGAUCCACAGCAUCAAGAACAAGUACCCACCUGGAUAAGGGAAGGCUCUGGGACCCAUUCAGGAUGUUAUUGAUGUUUUUGGAGAUGACGUCCAAGAGGAAGAGUUGGCGUUGCAUGGAGAGAUAAUGAGCUGUGUGGUGAUCAGCCCAGGCCUCAGAAGAAGUAGAUAAGGGGCAACCUCAGAGCCCUUCACCCACUGGACGCCACUGAAGUUUGUUACGGACAGGAUCUCUGGAACAGGCACUACACCCCAUUGUGAUGUCCAGACGCCAGCUGGGUUUCCAGGGGCAACGGGGCUGCCCCAGUUCUGAGCCCAGGGGACCCCAGGAGGCAGAUGUGCUCUGGGGCGUGAGAUCCGUUAAGUCUGCCUCAGGAAAGCUGCAUCCUCCACACUGAAACCACACCGGCAUUAGGACGCUCCACUCAGCCUCUGGAAACACCCACCACUGCCUUCUCCUGGAAAGCACCUGCUCUAGUCCCUGGAGACUCGUAUUAGGGCAGAAUCCAACAGAAGAAUUCCGUGGUCAGCAGAGAAAGCCCCAUCUCAGCAUCCAUGGAGCAGGUGCAUCUGAGCACAAGCCUGGUGGACCAGCCGACAAGCCUAAGACGAGGGCACAGGAAGCCUGGGUAUUGCCCACAAACACUCCAUCCAGUUCUUCCAUGGCCUGCCUUGAGGUCUACCAAGCAUUUAAAAGUCACCUUACCUGCCUGGGUGCAGCUGCAAGAAGAAAAAAGAAUGCUGUUCGUGGAGUCCCUGCUAUGGCACAACAGGUUCAAUGGUAUCAAUGCAGCACCAGGACACAGGUUUGAUCCCCAGCCCCACACAGUGGGUCAUACAUCUGGUGUCAUCAUAGCUGCAGCCUAAGUCACAUCUGUGGCUUGGGUCUGAUCCCUGGCCUAGGAACUCCAACAUAGUUCAUAGAGUGGCCCCCAAAACAAACAAAAAAACAAAACAAAAAGAAAAGAAAAAGAAUGCUAUUAGUUAUAGUUCAUGUGAGAACUCCAAAUGUUUCUUCUUUUUCAAAUUAAAAAAAAAAUUUCUUUAUUUUAGGUUCAUUACAUUUAAUUGUGAAUUUUAGAAGAAGUGGAUUAAUUUUGCCUGAAAAAAGUCCUGCUGAGCUUUUGACUAGGAUUAUGUUCAGUCUCUAAAGUGAUUUGAAGAGAACUGACAUCUUGGCAGUACGACAGGCUUCCAACAUAUGAACCUUUAAUCUUUUCAUUUAUUUAUGGCUUUUUCAAAUUCUCUCAGAAAUUUGGGGGGUGAAGAACACACCAUUAAGAAUGCUAUUUGCAUUGUAUCUCAGGGUUAACAACCCAGCUAGUAUCCAUGAGGCCACAGGUUCCAUCCCUGGCCUUGCUCUGGGUUAAGGAUCCUGUGUUGCUGUCAUCUGUGGUGUAGGUCUCAGACCUGGCUCAGACCCUGCAUUGCUAUGGCUGUGGUGUAGGCCAGCAGCUGCAGUUCCCAUUUGACCCUAGCCUAGGAACUUCCAUAUGCCCUGGCUGUGGCCCUAAAAAGACAAAAGAAAAAAUAUUCUUUGUUUUAUAUAUUUUAUGUAGGUGACCUAUUGGGUGGAGAGAGUGUUUCUUUUCUUACUUUUUGAGCAAACUUUUAGAUUAAAAGUAAAUAAUGAAUUUCAACAAUUUUUUUUUUGCAAAUAGCGAGGUGAUCCUUUUUUCUUUUUCAAUUGUUUAAUAUGACAUUGAUUUUGAAUGUUAACUUAUAUCCUUGGAAUGAUCCUCCUUCAUCAUGAUAUGUUAUCUUUAUUACACAGCUUAAAUACAGCUUGCUAAAUAUGCAUUUAGAAUUUCUGACUCUAUGAUGAAUAUUGGUCUGUAGCUUUCUGUUCUUGUGGUAUUAAUUUGACCGACAGUGUAUUUCAUUUUUCCAGUGGUAUGUGACAGCAUUUACUGUUGUUGUCAUAUGUUUUACUUUUGCAUGUACAUUAUAAACUUCCCAUUACACUCCUGUCAUUUUUGAGUAAACCAAUUAUUUUUAAAGGUAUUAAAAUAAGAACAAAUAGAUGGCUUUAUCAAGGAGCUACCACGGUGUUCUUCACUCUUGUUUAAAUGCAGAAUGUAAAUGCAUUUUCCUUCUGCCUGAAGGAAUUCUUUGGACAUUCAUUAUAGUGCUGGUAUGCUGGUCAUGAAUCCUUGCAAGUUUUGUAUAUCUGAAAAUGCAUUUUCUUCACCGUUGCUUGAUUUAAAGAUAUUUUUGCUAGGUAUAGAACUCUAUGAGAUGAUUUUUGUUUUCCUUUUGUUUGUUUGUUUUUAAGUACUUUAAAUAUGUUUGUUACUGAGAAGAAAUCUAAAGUUAUUUUUGUCUCUCCAUACAAAAUGAUUUUCUUUUCUUCUGUUACUUGUAAAAACUUUAUAUCUAUCAUUCGUUUUGAGCAAUUUCAUUAUGAUGUGCCUUGGGAAAUUUUUUUCUCAUCUUUUACACUUAGAGUUUGUUGAGAUUGUUGCAUCUAUAGCCUUAUAGCUUUUUUUUUUUUUAAAGUCUUGAAAAUUUCUGGCCAUUAUUCAUUCAAAUUAUUUUUCAGUCCUCUUCUCUUUCCUCUCCUUUGGCAAUUCCAAUCACCCAUGUAUUAGGAUAUUUGAUAUGGUACUAUAGUUCAUUUCUGCUCUUUUUUCUCUGUAUAUGCAGUUGACCUUUGAAGAACUUAGGGGGUUAGGGACAGUUGCAUUUGGAAUAGCCCCCUGUAACUUUAUAGUUUGCCCUAAAUACCCAUGGUUUUGCCUCUGCAGAUGCAACCAACCACAGACCAUAUAGUACUCCAGUAUUUAUUUUUAAAAAUCUUGUUGUGUUCCCAUUGUGGCUCAGUGGAAACAAGCCCGACUAGUAUCCAUGAGGAUGUGAGUUUGAUCCCUGGCCUUGCUCAGUGGGUUAAGGAUCUGGCAUUUCCAUGAGCUGUGGUAUGGGUCACAGGCAUAGCUUGGAUCCCACCUUGCUGUGGCUGUGAUGUAGGCUGGCAGCUGCAGCUCCAAUUCGACCCCUGGCCUGGGUGUGGCCCUUAAAAAAGCAAAAAAAAAAAAUCUUGGCAUUAGCAUAUUCACACUGAGGUCUAUGGAAUGACUGGCCAGUGGAGACCUGUGGUCUAUCACAGAGAACUCUACCCAAUAUGCUGUGAUCAUCUAUGUGGGAAAAGAUUCUGAAAGAGAAUGGAUCAAUCCCUUGGUUUUACAGCAGAAAGUAUCACCACCUUGUAAAUCAACUCUACCUCAAUAAAACUCAAAUCAAAAAAAAAAAAAAAGUAACA